UACGUAGGGGCAAGCGUUGUCCGGAAUCAUUGGGCGUAAAGCGCGCGUAGGCGGCCCGGUAAGUCCGCUCUGAAAGUCCAGGGCUCAACCCUGGAAAGCGGGUGGAUACUGCCGGGCUAGAAUCCGGAAGAGGCGAGUGGAAUUCCUGGUGUAGCGGUGGAAUGCGCAGAUAUCAGGAGGAACACCAAUAGCGAAGGCAGCUCGCUGGGACGGUAUGACGCUAAGGCGCGAAAGCGUGGGAGCAACAGG
Molecule: ribosomal RNA, 249 nt
Filed under: uncultured bacterium
Lineage: Bacteria
Description: partial 16S ribosomal RNA
Rfam family: Bacterial small subunit ribosomal RNA
Source: RNAcentral